RNAcentral lists this ribosomal RNA (253 nucleotides) under uncultured bacterium. RNAcentral's name for it is "partial 16S ribosomal RNA". It matches the Rfam family "Bacterial small subunit ribosomal RNA", at positions 524 to 776 of the family's 1533-position model. The record is from RNAcentral.
UACAUGGGGUGCAAACGUUGCUCGGAAUUAUUGGGCGUAAAGCGCACGUAGGCGGUUCGUUAAGUCGGACGUGAAAGCCCUCGGCUCAACCGAGGAAGUGCACCCGAAACUGGCGAGCUAGAGUACGAAAGAGGGUCGCGGAAUUCCCGGUGUAGAGGUGGAAUGCGUAGAGAUCCGGAAGAACACCGGUGGCGAAGGCGGCCUGCUGGGCAGUUGCUGACACUGAGGCGCGACAGCGUGGGGAGCAAACAGG